GCUGCGCACCUGAGCAGCGGCACCCCGCGGGAGCAGAGGUGCUCUGGAGUAACACGGAUCUGCAGUUUCUGGCCGCAGCUCUGGCUUGCCUCCGGGUGUUGCAGGAGUGGCCCUUGUCCUUGGCGUGGGAAGUUCAGCCCCGGGGCCGGCUCAAGGCUCAGCACGUGUGGGUUCCCUUGCAGGGCUGGUGGUGGCAACAGAGCAGGGUCCGGCCCUGGCAUGCUCAGCUACUUGUGGUGACUUUAUUCUGGCACGGCUCAAUCAGUUUUAGAUGAAGGUGUGACCACAUCAAAUUGUAUUUUUAUGAUUUUACGUUACAACUUUCCGUGAGGGUGGCAGAACACUGAAAGAGACUGCCCAGGGAGGGCAUGGUGACAUCUCCAAACUCCUCUCUGGAGGCAUUCCAAACCCAUCUGGAUGUGUUCCUGUGUCACCUGCAUUGGGUGACCCUGCCUUGGCAGGGGGUUGGACUGGAUGUUUUCCAGAGUUCCUUUACAACCUUAAGGAUUCUGUGAUUUAUUUCAGGAAGGUAAACUCAACCUGAUGGUCAAGGUUUGGGAUAAUCCUUGUUUAGUGAUGUGCCUGUGCCACCUUGUUGACACUCCUCUCUAUCUGUAUUGCUCUGCACAGUUUUGUGACUGAAGUGCUUAACUGGCAGGAAAAAAUUGUUCCCAUUCAAUCUGUACACAGGAAUGAUGCUGAAUAGCAGCAGUGGGGCAAAUUGAAUCCAUCACAGAAUUUCUGGGGAAAUUAGUCUCUCUUCAGAAGCAAUAACUUAAAUAACAUUAGGAUUAUGAAGAAAUAGGGCAUCUUCAAACAUCCCCAGCAGUGAGAGACCUCACCAAACAGUUCCUUGCUGCUGUGGCUUCUCUUGUCAAAUUUGACCAGUUCUGUUCACAGCAAAACUUAGGUGUUAAAUAGUGUGAAUUCCAGAAGUUUUUUGCAACGGUGGUUAGACCUUGCUGCAGUGAAUAUGCAAUAAUGGGCUAUUGAGGGGGGGUUUUUUCCCCUAUGAUAGCUUCAUGAAGAGGGACUUAGUAAAUAGCUGUAUUGUGAGUUUUUUUAAUAGGAAGUUGCUGGCUGUGAUUUUUUUUUCACUGUAUUUUUCCCAGGUUGUACUUUGUGUAUCUUAUGUGCAACCUCAGUUCACACAGGUUAUGUUAGGAAAUUAUUUUGCAUACUAAUACUGGAGAUUUAGUACUUCCUUAGUUGAAAGGAAGUUUAGAUAAAACAUGAGUUCAUUUGCUUUCACUUUCACUUGCAUUCCUACUGCAAUGAGCUGUAUCCUUACUUCACCUUCCCUUUGAUAAAUGUUUUCUGUAUUUUCCUCUGUUUUUAGUAGUGGAAAACAUGAAUUCAUUUGCAAAUUGUGAAAAGUUUACAGGACUUAGAACAAUAGGUGUUUGAUUAGAUUGACAAUUAAUAACAUAGUACAGCAGUCUUGAAAUAUUUUUGUAAACUAACUUUCUUGCUGAAUUUGUGUAAUUAUUAUGUGUAAACUUUUUGCAGAAAAAGCCUGCUUGCUUCUAGCAUGUCCUAAGAUAAAUAAAUCUAGUGAAUAAAUACACAGUUUUAAACAUUUAUGUUUGAGGCAGGACCACAUAACCAAAUGAUGAUUCAGUUUGAGAAGGGCACUGAGGCCUUUGUAAUAUUUGAAGCUGAAAUGUACCUUUUUUAUUUAUAAAUAUCUACUUUUAUUCUGUGUACUGAGAGAGGAGUACUCAAAGAGGAGUAGAAAAUCUGACUGUUUUGGUGUAGUCAUUCUCAGGCCUCACUGAGGUUUCCAGCAGCACUGUGCAGUGCUGUGGCACACGCACCACUUGGAUGCAGAGUUUAGUACUAUUGCUGUAAAAUAGAGUGUGUGUAGGGAGAAAUGCUGGGAUUUGUGUUCCUUUGGUUCUGUUCUUAGCAAAAAUCAUUCUUUGUGCUCACAGACUUUACUUUUCCAAAGGAUAUGGGCUUUACUCUGUGCUUGAGUGGGCAGCAGUGACUUCCCAUUUCUCUCAGGCCAUGGUUUCUGGAUAUUCAUAUUCCAUCUAUAACUACAUGGUUAGAAAAAUAAAUUGAAACCAAACACACUAAUUGAAAAUGCAGCACAACAGUAAUAUGUUGUGAUAAUUACUUGAAGCCAGAAUAGUCUGUGUUAAUUAAAUGCAAGCGGGGUAGAGAUUUUGGAAAGAAACCCUGCAUUUCCAAUUGAGGCAAUAGAUAAAGGCAUUUUUGGUAGCAGUCAGUGCUGUUAAUGUUGUGUAAAAAAUCCCCAAAAAUACCACUGUGGACUUGUAUCCCUCUCCAGGUAUGUGGACUGUGGUGCUGCCCAGGAGGACAUCUGUGCAUUUGUAUCUGCUGGAACUACUUGUUCUCCUUUUCUCCUUGGUAGAAUUUCCCAGUUCAGAGCAGUUUCUAGUGUGAUUUACCUUUGCCCCAGUGUGUUGGUGCUCAGUGGGCUGGCAGGUCCAAAAAGAGGUAUUAAAUCUUUAAAUUUUUGGUCUAAGCAGGGGAAAAAGAGGUGCCUGGGCUUGGGCUGGAGGUGUUACCUUCAGAUGAGCACAUUAUUAAGACAAAGGAUGGUACAGUCCAAGGAAACACUUUUAGUUUAUGCUGAAACCUGGUGUCAGUCACCCUCUGAUUUUCCUGAACCUGUUUUGGGAAGAGAGGCUGAGAUGUGCCUGCAACAUGUGACGACAGGCAGUGCAGGGUUGAGUGAGUGGAGUGAGGGGAAGCAGUAUCAGGAAUAAUUAAGUUGAUAUCAAUUGUGCUCCCUUUCUUCCUGUUGUGCACUCCAGUCACACAAAAACCCCACGGAAUGAGCACAUUUGAGGCAGGAGCCUGCAUCAGUCACUUGGGAUGCUCGGCACGGCUGGAGAAGGCGGCAGAUGUUCAAUCAGCGGAAGCUCCUGGGUUUCAGGAAGUGUGGCUUCAGUGCAGGCAGUGCUGCUGGAAUCCAGGGGUAAAAGGAAUUGGUGUUGGAGCUGUUCUGUAAAUCCCGGAGCUCCAUCGUGUGGCGGGAGCUGUGCAGGCCAGAGCUGCAGCCUUGGGAUCAGGCUUGGGAGCUGGGGCUGCUGAGAUUGUGCAGCUCCACAGUUGGAAUCACUUUGUCCCCUUCCACAUGUGCUGACAGGAAAAGCAGCCCUUGGGAACCUGACUUUUUUAACAGGGAAAGCAGAUGACCCAAGGAUUGUUUAAAGCUUGUCUUUCACGAUGUGUUGUGCUAAAAGAGUGAAUGCGCCAAGUGCACGACCCUGAGCUUCUGUGCUGCACUGGCUGUGACUUGAGCAUCUCUGGAUUCACUGGGGAAGAGAACACUAUUCUCUUCAAUAGAGACUAUGCCAGCAGGAUAAUUUGUCAGCCUUCCCUAGUGCUGCGAGUGCCAGAACCCCCUGAUAUAUGGUGUGAGAGAAGCAGCACUCAGCAGGCCCUCAAGGGAACCUGGCAGAUCUUCACCAAUAACAUGGUAACAUAGGUGACGCAGCUUGGAAAGACUGUUAAAUAGCAUCUACAAAUUAAAAAUGCCCCAAAAUACAGGAUUAAUGUAAAGCAGAAUACUAUAAAUAGAAAUUGUUUCGUACAUGCCAGGUUGGUUAGGUUUGGAACUAAGCUAUGUCUAAAGGUGGAAAAGUAAAGCAGAUCAAUUUCUAGGUUUAUUGUAAUCAUUGUGUCUUUCAGGUUUAAUUUUAAAAAGAAAUGCAGAAGCAUUGCCUUACAUUUUUACACAAAAUUUUAACAGGUGUAUAACACCUGUCUAGGUUUUCAGAGUGCUUCAACAUUUCCAGUCCAUCACAGAACAAUCAGCUUCAGACACUGAAUGUGGGACUUCCUUAACUUCCCGGGAUCACUGUCCAGCUGAAGAUGCAGAGUUGGAGCUGUGCAGCUCAGCUCCCUGGCCAGGCUGCCUCUACCCCUGAGGAAUGGGAAUUCGAAUUCACAGGGAUCCUACUCAGCUGCUGAAGGCUGGGAUGCAGGAACAGGGAACUGAAAGUAAUGUCAGCUCUGCCGGUGCUGAUUUAAAGGGAUGUGAUGGGAGCCGGUGCUCUGUAAAGGUUUGACUCUGCCCCAGAGUUGCUGUUCUGAUUUAUUCCUGUUUUGGGCGUCAGGACCAAGUACUUGUGUCCAUGCUGAAGUUUAUUUUCUGGUAGAUGUGUAAAUUAGCAAAAGCAAAUAGCGGUAAUUAUACCAGUUACAAGUGAGAUUUUAAGGUUGAGUCACCCAAAUUUGUCAUCACUGUUUGUAUAAAGGAUUCUGUAGUAAGGCACUGAGGGGGCUGGAAAGUAAUUUGAUUUUGUGUCUGUCCAAGGAAUAACGUCAUCCCUUUGUGUGAGUGCACGGGAUCACGCGCUGUGUGCUUGGCAAGGACAUCAACGGGCAUGAGGGUGCUCUUGUUCUGUGCUGGCUUUGUUUGCAGAGGGGGCUGAAAACAGCAGGCUGCAACUGGGAUCAAGUACUAGUUAAAUGUAUUUUGUUUUUUAAAAACUGUUUUUCUCUAAACAUUUUCAGCUAUUGGAUAAACAACCUGGACAAACAAUCAUUUUUCUUACCAGCCCUGUUCUCAAACUGUCCUUGCUACGGAGGGGAUUCUGAGUGGUGCAUCUGUUUGGCAAGUGUUCUCAUUUCAGUAUUCCAAGGUGAGAAGUGACACCUGUGGAACAUGGCUGGUAAUUCAACAGAAGUUUAAUGACUGUAGUUGCUAUGAUUGCUACAACUUGCUUACUUAAGACCCAAGCAAUUGGUAAAAUUUUGAAAUCAAGAAACCUUAUUUUUAAAGUAACUUCCUUCUGUGACUAGGGGGAGAAAGGGGAAGGCUUUUUCUCUGGUGAGUAUUAUAAAUGCUGUCUGCAGCUAGCCUGACUUGUCUUGACUGAAGCAGCAAUCCUGCCCCAGCUCUGAAGAUGCCUGCACUGUGGGAUGAGGUAGUAGGUUGUAUAGUUUUAGGGUCAUACCCACCACUGGGAGAUAACUAUACAAUCUACUGUCUUUCCUAAAGCAGCAGAUAAUCAACAAUGGAAGCUUCUCAGUUUUAAGAUCGGUGUCAGAUUUUGCUGAAUUUCUGUACUUGUAGUGCUUAUGACAGAACAAAAUACUUGUAAUAACUGUGAGAAUUGUGUUCAGAUUUUUCUAGUUCUUGGAAAAGCUAGGUUUCAUUCUGCAUUAAUUUUUCUGCUCUAAUCAAUAAAAAAUCAAGAAUAGAUUAUUCCUGCAUGUGUAUGGUGGGGUAAUUAAAUACAAAUUCCUGGUGUCCCAGUUGUUGGGGAGUUGUAUCAAACAUCCUUCAGAAUGAAACUGAGGUUGGCUGCUGAGCUCUUGCUGAAGUCUCUGCUUCUCUGUCAGAGUGAGGUAGUAGAUUGUAUAGUUGUGGGGUAGUUAUUUUACCCUGUUCAGGAGAUAACUAUACAAUCUAUUGCCUUCCCUGAGGAGUAAAACAAACUCCACUGCCUUGCAGCCAGUCCUGGGUUAAAAAUACUCAUUGAGAGAAACCAGAUGAAUUCAGGGUUGUAAAGCAGCAGUGCCAGAAUGUACAGGACUGACAGUCAGUGUGAAUGGUGCAACCCCCACAGGAUACCUGUGACUUAACAUGGCUUGUCUCCCAAGGUGAGUGUCACUGGCUGGGGAUGGAAAAUGCCCGUGCUUUAGGCAGAAGGUGGAACACUCCACAGAGGGAUAUUAAUCCAAGUCAGUUAGGAGAAUGUAAAAUACAGGGAGCUCAAGCUUGUACACUGUGGCUUAAACUCUUCUGACAUCCCAGUUUCCAUAAUGCAUUAAAACUUAAAACUCCCAACUGCUUGGUAGAAGUUGGAGGGAAAACUUAAAAUUAUCCUUUAUUAAUAAGUCUGCAUAUCUUUCUGCAGCUUUUCCAGAUCUAAUGCAAAAUUUACCGGCUGGCCAAUUUUGGCCAAAACACACCUCACCUUUCUGGGGGAGGUGUGAAGCUAUGGAGUUUGAGCAUCCAAGAGCCAGAACUUACCUCUAAAGUGAUAUUGCUUCUGUAAAAAGACUUCUAAAGUUGAUUGCAUUCUUUUUCCUCCUGCUGUGCUUGGUGUACCCAGUCUGUAACUGGCUCUGUGCUAUCAUGCCCAGCAAGCAGUUUGCUGUAGUAACAAAAAAUCCCACAGAAAUAAAUGCUCUUAGGGAUGGGAAGUUUAGCUUAGGCAGAGUGAGAAAGGAGCCUUUUAUGGGUGUUACAGGCAGUGAGCCACUGUUGGUCAGUGCUGACAGUGUCACCUCGGAAUAUAUGCCCAGCCAGGGCAGAAGAGCAGAGCAGCUGGGCAGCUAAAGUCCUGCAGAGAGUGAAGAACUGCACAGAGGAAGCGUGGGGCUCCUAGGAAGAGGUAGUAGGUUGCAUAGUUUUAGGGCAGGGAUUUUGCUCACAAGGAGGUAACUAUACAACCUGCUGCCUUUCUUAGGGCUUUAUUAUAACACCAGGACCAUUUGGGCUCCAGCCUGCAAACCUCUGCAGCUUUGGGACAUGGAGAGAAAGGACAAUGUAUUUCUAAGUGUGCUGAGGAUUAAUGAAAGCUGUGUCUUGGCAGAUUUGGUCCCAAAUGGAGGUGUAGGAAUGCUGGCUGAAAUGCAGCAUGGUGACAUUGGGGCUGCAUGUGCCACCUGGGGGACACGGGGCUGUGGUAAGUAAGAGGCUGUGUGGGGAAGGCAGCUCCUGCGGGGUAAGCUGGAGGCUCUUGAGGUUAGGGUGAAAGUGGUGUGAACUGCUGAACAUGAAAGUUCUGGUACUAUGUGCACACAGGGAGCUGAAAUACACCUUUCCUUUGGCUUAGUGCAUUUCAAGUGGAAAAACUCCAGUUUUCCUUCCUCAAAAGCAUCAGAUUCCAGCUGCCCUGAAAGCUGGUGCUUUCUCACCAGGCAUAGGCCCUCCGAGUGAACCAAGUUCACAGUGGUGCAUUAUUUAUAGUCCUACAGGAGGGGAGUUUCCAGUUAAAAACAGUGGCACGGUUUCUCAUGGAAUUGUUAAAAAUGAGUCCAUGUUUUUUGAUGUAAUUGCGGUGCACCACAGCAAUAGUUCUGGUAGGGUUCUGUCUGGACACUACUCUGUGGGGUAUGGAGAUUUCAGUUCUGAGCACCUUGCAGCAUUAACCUGCUGUGCUCACACCAGCUGCCAUUUAAAUGGCAAAGCAACACAGUCCUAGCUUAUGUUAAGUAUUGCUUAUAUUGAACAUUUUGUGAAUUUAACUGUACUUUUUUUAUUUAGUUAAUAAAAUACAGCAUUUUGUGCAA
This is a non-coding RNA of Cyanistes caeruleus (blue tit), 7224 nucleotides long. The record is from RefSeq and is a predicted model, not a curated record. NCBI's taxonomy places the organism in Eukaryota, Metazoa, Chordata, Aves, Passeriformes, Paridae.